GACGAACGCUGGCGGCGUGCUUAACACAUGCCAGUCGAACGGAAAGGCCCUGCUUUUGUGGGGUGCUCGAGUGGCGAACGGGUGAGUAACACGUGAGUAACCUGCCCUUGACUUUGGGAUAACUUCAGGAAACUGGGGCUAAUACCGGAUAGGAGCUCCUGCUGCAUGGUGGGGGUUGGAAAGUUUCGGCGGUUGGGGAUGGACUCGCGGCUUAUCAGCUUGUUGGUGGGGUAGUGGCUUACCGAGGCUUUGACGGGUAGCCGGCCUGAGAGGGUGACCGGCCACAUUGGGACUGAGAUACGGCCCAGACUCCUACGGGAGGCAGCAGUGGGGAAUAUUGCACAAUGGGCGGAAGCCUGAUGCAGCAACGCCGCGUGCGGGAUGACGGCCUUCGGGUUGUAAACCGCUUUCGCCUGUGACGAAGCGUGAGUGACGGUAAUGGGUAAAGAAGCACCGGCUAACUACGUG
Molecule: ribosomal RNA, 468 nt
Filed under: uncultured bacterium
Lineage: Bacteria
Description: partial 16S ribosomal RNA
Rfam family: Bacterial small subunit ribosomal RNA
Source: RNAcentral